RNAcentral lists this ribosomal RNA (2889 nucleotides) under Acinetobacter baumannii 45075_10. RNAcentral's name for it is "bacterial LSU rRNA". It matches the Rfam family "Bacterial large subunit ribosomal RNA". The record is from RNAcentral. RNAcentral also lists the same sequence under 2 other names. Lineage: Bacteria; Pseudomonadati; Pseudomonadota; Gammaproteobacteria; Moraxellales; Moraxellaceae.
CAAGUAAUUAAGUGCAUGUGGUGGAUGCCUUGGCAGUCAGAGGCGAUGAAAGACGUGAUAGCCUGCGAAAAGCUCCGGGGAGGCGGCAAAUAUCCUUUGAUCCGGAGAUGUCUGAAUGGGGGAACCCACCUACUUUAAGGUAGGUAUUGCAACAUGAAUACAUAGUGUUGCAAGGCGAACGAGGGGAAGUGAAACAUCUCAGUACCCUUAGGAAAAGAAAUCAAUUGAGAUUCCCUCAGUAGCGGCGAGCGAACGGGGAUCAGCCCAUUAAGUUAUGUGUGUUUUAGUGGAACGCUCUGGGAAGUGCGAACGUAGAGGGUGAUAUUCCCGUACACGAAAGGGCACACAUAAUGAUGACGAGUAGGGCGAGGCACGUGAAACCUUGUCUGAAUAUGGGGGGACCAUCCUCCAAGGCUAAAUACUCCUGACUGACCGAUAGUGAACCAGUACCGUGAGGGAAAGGCGAAAAGAACCCCUGUGAGGGGAGUGAAAUAGAUCCUGAAACCGCAUGCAUACAAGCAGUGGGAGCACCUUCGUGGUGUGACUGCGUACCUUUUGUAUAAUGGGUCAGCGACUUAUAUUCAGUAGCGAGGUUAACCGUAUAGGGGAGCCGUAGAGAAAUCGAGUCUUAAUAGGGCGUUUAGUUGCUGGGUAUAGACCCGAAACCAGGCGAUCUAUCCAUGAGCAGGUUGAAGGUUGGGUAACACUAACUGGAGGACCGAACCCACUGUCGUUGAAAAGCCAGGGGAUGACUUGUGGAUAGGGGUGAAAGGCUAAUCAAGCCUGGUGAUAGCUGGUUCUCCCCGAAAGCUAUUUAGGUAGCGCCUCGGACGAAUACCAUAGGGGGUAGAGCACUGUUUCGGCUAGGGGGUCAUCCCGACUUACCAAACCGAUGCAAACUCCGAAUACCUAUGAGUACUAUCCGGGAGACAGACUGCGGGUGCUAACGUCCGUAGUCAAGAGGAAAACAAUCCAGACCGCCAGCUAAGGCCCCAAAAUCAUAGUUAAGUGGGAAACGAUGUGGGAAGGCAUAGACAGCUAGGAGGUUGGCUUAGAAGCAGCCACCCUUUAAAGAAAGCGUAAUAGCUCACUAGUCGAGUCGGCCUGCGCGGAAGAUGUAACGGGGCUAAAACUAUGUGCCGAAGCUGCGGAUGUAUACUUUGUAUACGUGGUAGGGGAGCGUUCUGUAAGCCGAUGAAGGUGUGUUGAGAAGCAUGCUGGAGGUAUCAGAAGUGCGAAUGCUGACGUGAGUAACGACAAAACGGGUGAAAAACCCGUUCGCCGAAAGACCAAGGGUUCCAGUCCAACGUUAAUCGGGGCUGGGUGAGUCGACCCCUAAGGCGAGGCCGAAAGGCGUAGUCGAUGGGAAAAUGGUUAAUAUUCCAUUACUUCUGUGUAAUGCGAUGAGAGGACGGAGAAGGCUAAAUCAGCCUGGCGUUGGUUGUCCAGGUGAAAGGAUGUAGGCAUGUAUCUUAGGCAAAUCCGGGGUACUCUAUGCUGAGAUCUGAUAGCAAGCUGUACUUGUACAGCGAAGUGGUUGAUGCCAUGCUUCCAGGAAAAGUCUCUAAGCUUCAGUUACACAGGAAUCGUACCCGAAACCGACACAGGUGGUCAGGUCGAGUAGACCAAGGCGCUUGAGAGAACUCUGCUGAAGGAACUAGGCAAAAUGGUACCGUAACUUCGGGAGAAGGUACGCUGUUGUUGGUGAUGGAACUCGCUUCCUGAGCUGACGACAGCCGCAGAAACCAGGCCGCUGCAACUGUUUAUUAAAAACAUAGCACUCUGCAAACACGAAAGUGGACGUAUAGGGUGUGAUGCCUGCCCGGUGCUGGAAGGUUAAUUGAUGGGGUUAGCGUAAGCGAAGCUCUUGAUCGAAGCCCCAGUAAACGGCGGCCGUAACUAUAACGGUCCUAAGGUAGCGAAAUUCCUUGUCGGGUAAGUUCCGACCUGCACGAAUGGCAUAAUGAUGGCGGCGCUGUCUCCAGCAGAGGCUCAGUGAAAUCGAAAUCGCUGUGAAGAUGCAGUGUACCCGCGGCUAGACGGAAAGACCCCGUGAACCUUUACUGCAGCUUGACACUGAACUUUGACCUUACUUGUGUAGGAUAGGUGGGAGGCUUUGAAGCUGGAACGCUAGUUCCAGUGGAGCCGUCCUUGAAAUACCACCCUGGUAAUGUUGAGGUUCUAACUCUGUCCCGUGAUCCGGGACGAGGACCGUGUCUGGUGGGUAGUUUGACUGGGGCGGUCUCCUCCUAAAGAGUAACGGAGGAGUACGAAGGUGCGCUCAGCGUGGUCGGAAAUCACGCGUAGAGUAUAAAGGCAAAAGCGCGCUUAACUGCGAGACCCACAAGUCGAGCAGGUACGAAAGUAGGUCUUAGUGAUCCGGUGGUUCUGUAUGGAAGGGCCAUCGCUCAACGGAUAAAAGGUACUCUGGGGAUAACAGGCUGAUACCGCCCAAGAGUUCAUAUCGACGGCGGUGUUUGGCACCUCGAUGUCGGCUCAUCUCAUCCUGGGGCUGAAGCAGGUCCCAAGGGUAUGGCUGUUCGCCAUUUAAAGAGGUACGCGAGCUGGGUUUAGAACGUCGUGAGACAGUUCGGUCCCUAUCUACCGUGGGCGCUGGAAAUUUGAGAGGAUCUGCUCCUAGUACGAGAGGACCAGAGUGGACAAACCUCUGGUGUACCGGUUGUGACGCCAGUCGCAUCGCCGGGUAGCUAUGUUCGGAAGGGAUAACCGCUGAAAGCAUCUAAGCGGGAAGCCUACCUCAAGAUAAGAUUUCCCUAGGACUUUAUGUCCUCUAAAGAGCCGUUCGAGACUAGGACGUUGAUAGGUUGGAUGUGGAAGCAUAGUGAUAUGUGAAGCUGACCAAUACUAAUUGCUCGUGAGGCUUGACUA